GAUGAAGAACGCAGCGAACUGCGAUAAGUAAUGUGAAUUGCAGAAUUCAGUGAAUCAUCGAAUCUUUGAACGCAUAUUGCGCUCUCUGGUAUUCCGGAGAGCAUGCUUGUUUGAGUAUCAGUAAACACCUCAACUUCCAUAUCUUUUUUGAAAUGGGAGUUGGACUUGAGUGAUCCCAACGCUUUUCCUCACCGAAAAGUGGCGGGUUACUUGAAAUGCAGGUGCAGCUGGACUUUUCUCUGAGCUAUAAGCAUAUCUAUUUAGUCUGCCUAAAAAACAGAUUAUUACCUUUGCUGCAGCUAACAUAAAGGAGAUUAGUUCUUGUGCUGACUGAUGCAGGAUUCACAAAGACGGCUUCGGCCGACUUUGUAAACUCGAUCUCAAAUCAAGUAAGACUACCCGCUGAACUUAAGCAUAUCAAUAAGCGGAGGA
RNAcentral lists this unclassified non-coding RNA (432 nucleotides) under soil metagenome. RNAcentral describes it as "partial contains 5.8S ribosomal RNA, internal transcribed spacer 2, and large subunit ribosomal RNA". The stretch from base 1 to 120 matches the Rfam family "5.8S ribosomal RNA", at positions 35 to 154 of the family's 154-position model. The record is from RNAcentral.